This is a long non-coding RNA of Manis pentadactyla (Chinese pangolin), 3405 nucleotides long. RefSeq lists it as uncharacterized. The record is from RefSeq and is a predicted model, not a curated record. NCBI's taxonomy places the organism in Eukaryota, Metazoa, Chordata, Mammalia, Pholidota, Manidae. The transcript has 4 exons.
GUGGGACUCAAGGCGUCUCAGACACCUGAAAUAAGCAAGGUUUGAUAAUAAGCAGUGGAGAAACGGAGAUCUCCUGGGUUCACGUGAGCCACUGGGUUUGAGAGCUUAUGCAGAAUCGGGACCCCUUCUGGGGGUGCCUUCCACCAGUGAAGUCGGCCGCAGCCUGCUGACCCCGGGACCUGGACUGUGCAGCAGAGAGGAGGAGGCGAUGUAGAUCCGAGGCCCGACACUGGUACGAUGUGGAAACAAGGAAUUCUUCUCUCACCUUCAGCAGAGAAAAAAAGAUUGUCCUCAGUACCUGGAAUAUGGACUACACUGGGUCACACAGCUCCCAGGAAGAUUAUCUGCCACAUGGGGACAUUACUAUUAGAAAUGAGGGAGAAGGCAGAGGAGGAAGCAACCACCAUCCUGCUGUCACUGUUGCCAAAACGUAGCCGGAUAGUUCCUCCUGUUUUCCAGUCUAGCAUUCUGGACGACUCUUUAAUCUUCUUCUUUCUAACCUCAAGUUAAAAAGUAUUCUGAAGGUGAAGAGAAAAAAAAAGUAUGAAAGUUCCCAGGACAGAUCCAGCCCUUAUGCUCUUCACAGUCUGCCCACUCUUGGCUUUGAGGCCUUUACUCCAACUACAGCACCUGUCGCUCCCGCACAUGCCCUGUGGUUGCCUGCUUUGUUCACUCGGUGCGCUCCCAGUGCCCAGCCCCCACCCUCUGCCCAGCACCAGAAGGGCACAGCAUUCUUGAGGGGCUGGCUCAAGUGCCAUCUCUUCUGGGACGUGGGCAGAGCUUGUCACUCCCUCCUCAGCCACUCGUCCACUACCUGGUUUGUCAUAUGGUAGGAAAGUCAGUGUUUUGAUGACUGUGUCCCCUGAUCACUUGUGAACUAAAUAAGGGUAUGGAAUGUGUUUAUGCUCCUCCUAUAGUGGAUGGCAUGAAUUAGGUGUUCAGAAAUCAUUUGUACUGAAUGAGUGAAUGAAUGGGUGGGUGAAAAGCUAAGUGAAUUAAACAGUAAGGGUAAAACAGGCAAGGGCUCUCUCCAUUUCCACCUGAGUGAAACAUUUCUAAAUAGGGCAAGGAUACCAUUUAGCACUCUGUAGAUUCUUCCAUGGCCUAAAUUAUACUUUGAGCAUAAGAUGAGAAGUUUUGAAUUUAGUUGUAGAGGAAUCUGGUAACCAAUAGGACAGAAAGAGUCCAAAGGGAUAAAUAGCACCAAUGGCACACUGCUACCUCACUGGGGAACAGAGCAAAUUUGCUGCCUUAACAGAGCAGACUUUUCUGCUGUGUGUAUGUGUGUGUGUGUGUGUGUGUGUGUGUGUGUGUGUGUGUAGGGGGUGCAGGGAGUGGACAUGCACACAUGAAGGACCCAUGCAUAUGUGAGGGAAACAUGUACAGAUGGAGUAGGAGGCGGGUCAUGAAUGAGAAGCGUAGAGCACACGGAGGUGGAUUUGAGUACCUAGAGUUAAUAACAGACUACCCACAAAUAUAGAAAGCACUUUCACACUGAAAACUGUCAUAACAAAAAUCUCAAAAUUAAAGAAAGUUUGCAGAUUUCUAGAAAUAACUUUAACCUCAGUCAUUUAAAAAAAUAAAAAUGAGUGCUUAUGAUUGCAACAUACAACAUUAUCUCACUCUUCUCCAUAUUAUCAACUUUAUUUCUUCAUAUGCUUUCAUUUUUUUUAAAUGCCAAAUUUUUGUCUCCCACAUGAAAGGCAGGGAGAACCCCUCGCUGUCUGGCUGGGCUGAGUUCUGUCUUCCUGGCACGAGGGGGCCAAGUGCUCAGCACUAACCGGAACCAGACUUCAUUAAGGCGGUUCUGGCAGCAAACAGGAAACAAAAUGUGCUGAUAUAAUGCUCUGGGAGAAGUGACUCUAAGAAGUCAGCACUUCCCAGGUCUACUGAAUUCCACAGUAUAGGAAAUCUGUCUAUCUGCAAUUUGUAAUUUCAUGUACAAGUGUGUAGUUAUAAUUUCAUUUACAAAGUGAACCACCAUCAUUAACAUAGAUCAUUCUGUCAAAUAGGAUUGUCGAUGAUGCCACCAUGCUGUGGUGCAUAAAAAUUCAUUAGGUCUACUUUAUACUAACAAAUAGUUUUACUAUUAGGCCUGGUUUCUAAUGAAAAAAUGGGAGGUUAAAGAUUAUUUCUUCACCAAAAAAGCAUUUUCAUCAUUUUUUUCUCUAAAAUUAUUUGAAUAGCUGCCUAAAUUCUUAAAGUCUCCCUGUAUGUGUAACUAUAGAUAAAAAUGUGCUUUGUCUGAAAAUAAAAUGCUUUCAAAAGCAUUUUUUUUUUUUGCUUUCUAAAUGAAGGCAAGAAAGAAAAAAAAACUAUGUUUUGUGGGAAGAAUGUUUCAAGUUUAAUUCAAUUACAGAAUCUCAUGAUUCAAAGGAACUUGAGAGAUCAUCUGAUAGAAGUCUUCCCUGAAUUAUUGAAUCCCAGUCCAAGUGGGCAUCAGCCACUAGGCGGCUCUUCGAAUGACAAGAAAAACAAGAUAGGGCAUCUCAUUUGUUUCCUGAAUGUUCUCAUUGUUUAAAGUUUUGAGUUUAAUCUGCCUCCUUAAAAUUCAGGUCUAGUUCUAUAUAUUGGAGCUACACAAAACUUCCUCUUUUACAUAUCAGCUUAACCCACCACCUUCAGCCUUGAGUGGAAUUAAAGUUGCUGAGGGUGUGCUUUUAAGCAGUCAUAUCCUACCUACAUGAUAAUAUCCCUUUUUGAGAAAAUUAGGGCAAGUUCAUGGUCAGCACCAAUAAGCCAUUGAGAACUUCUAAGGCUGCCUCAUCCAACUGGGUGGCCAUUAGCCAAAUGUGGUUGUUAGCACUUGAAACAUGGCAGGUCUAAACUGAGAUGUGCUGUAUGUGUAAAGUAUGCAGCAGAUCUUGAAGACUUGUAUGGAAUAAAAGGAAAAUAUUUCACUAAUAUCUCAUAUUGAUUAUAUGUUGAGAAGUAAUACAUUGAAUAAAACAUGUUUAUUAAAGUUAAUUUCACUAGUUUUUAAAACCGUUUUUAAUGUAGUUACUAGAGAAUUUAAAAUCAUAGAUUGUCCAGUCAUACUUUCACCAUAAAACUUACUGCAGUUUGUACCAAUGUUACCGUGUGUGCGCAUGCGUGCAUGGAAUGUGCAUGUUUAUAUAUUCAUCUGUCUGAUAUUUGUAUCUCUUGUCAAGUAGGUGCUUCAUGCAGAAGGGGACUCCACCUCAUUCAUUUUUUAUUCUCAAUACUUACCACAGUACCUAGCACUCCGUAGCUAUAAAAUAAUUUUGUUGAAUGUUUCAACAAACGGAGCAUAUCUAGGGCCAAUUUCAGCAUCAUUAGAGUCCCCAAACAUGCCAUUCUGAGUUCUGAGGAUUCAACUGAGAAGCAAUAUAAAAAUUUGAGAUUUGAGUGGACAUUAGUGAGGAUGAAGCCAAGACAGGCUAC